RNAcentral lists this transfer RNA (66 nucleotides) under Vibrio phage phi 3. It matches the Rfam family "tRNA". From Rfam's summary of the family: Transfer RNA (tRNA) molecules are approximately 80 nucleotides in length. The record is from Rfam by way of RNAcentral. Lineage: Duplodnaviria; Heunggongvirae; Uroviricota; Caudoviricetes; Demerecviridae.
GCUGUAGUUUACGUGGAUAAAACAGUUGGCUUGCACCCAGCAGAACCGAGUUCGAUUCUCGGUGGC